UGAACGCUGGCGGCGUGCCUAAUACAUGCAAGUCGAACGGGUAUCACAAGAGUGCUUGCACUUUUGUGUGAGAGUGGCGCACGGGUGAGUAACACGUAGCUGACCUGCCUUUCACUGGGGGAUAACUCGUCGAAAGAUGAGCUAAUACCGCGUACGCUUGGAGAGUUUAGAAGUCUUCAAGGAAAGAAUUAGCAUCGGUGAAAGAGGGGGCUGCGGUCCAUCAGCUAGUUGGUGAGGUAAAAGCUCACCAAGGCACCGACGGGUAGGGGACCUGAGAGGGUGACCCCCCACACUGGAACUGAGACACGGUCCAGACUCCUACGGGAGGCAGCAG
RNAcentral lists this ribosomal RNA (334 nucleotides) under uncultured bacterium. RNAcentral's name for it is "bacterial SSU rRNA". It matches the Rfam family "Bacterial small subunit ribosomal RNA", at positions 30 to 354 of the family's 1533-position model. The record is from RNAcentral.